UAGGGAAUCUUGCGCAAUGAGCGAAAGCUUGACGCAGCGACGCCGCGUGCGGGAUGAAGGCCUUCGGGUCGUAAACCGCUUUCAGCAGGGACGAAAUUGACGGUACCUGCAGAAGAAGCCCCGGCCAACUACGUGCCAGCAGCCGCGGUAAUACGUAGGGGGCGAGCGUUGUCCGGAUUUAUUGGGCGUAAAGAGCUCGUAGGCGGUUCGGCAAGUCGACGGUGAAAUCUCCACGCUCAACGUGGAGGGGUCCGUCGAUACUGCUGUGACUCGAGUCCGGUAGGGGAGUGUGGAAUUCCCGGUGUAGCGGUGAAAUGCGCAGAGAUCGGGAGGAACACCCGUAGCGAAGGCGGCACUCUGGGCCGGUACUGACGCUGAGGAGCGAAAGCGUGGGGAGCAAACAGG
RNAcentral lists this ribosomal RNA (405 nucleotides) under uncultured bacterium. RNAcentral's name for it is "bacterial SSU rRNA". It matches the Rfam family "Bacterial small subunit ribosomal RNA", at positions 355 to 776 of the family's 1533-position model. The record is from RNAcentral.